Molecule: long non-coding RNA, 244 nt
Filed under: Homo sapiens (human)
Lineage: Eukaryota; Metazoa; Chordata; Mammalia; Primates; Hominidae
Description: HSALNT0226762
Source: RNAcentral
CAGGGCUAGGGAGUGCCGGAUGAAACCAGCUCUGUCCCUGUGCAGGCUCCAGGCUCCCGCCUGACAAACAGGCAGGGAGCCACAGUCAGGGACAAUAAAAACUUGGUGCACUCUGAAAGCAGCACUUGGACAGCCUUCAAAGUCCUUCCAUCUGGCUGCACUCCAAGGCCCCCUCUGUCCUUUUCAGAACACAUGGACUUGGAGGCAGAUUUGAAAUAAACUUUUAGUAAAUGUAAGCCUUUCU